GGCAGCUUGCUGCCGGGGUGAGAGUGGCGAACGGGUGAGUAAUGCGUGACCGACCUGCCCCAUGCACCGGAAUAGCUCCUGGAAACGGGUGGUAAUGCCGGAUGUUCCACAUGAGCGCAUGCGAGUGUGGGAAAGGCUUUUUGCGGCAUGGGAUGGGGUCGCGUCCUAUCAGCUUGUUGGUGGGGUAACGGCCUACCAAGGCGUUGACGGGUAGCCGGCCUGAGAGGGCGACCGGCCACAUUGGGACUGAGAUACGGCCCAGACUCCUACGGGAGGCAGCAGUGGGGAAUAUUGCACAAUGGGCGCAAGCCUGAUGCAGCGACGCCGCGUGCGGGAUGGAGGCCUUCGGGUUGUAAACCGCUUUUGUUCAAGGGCAAGGCACGGUUUCGGCCGUGUUGAGUGGAUUGUUCGAAUAAGCACCGGCUAACUACGUGCCAGCAGCCGCGGUAAUACGUAGGGUGCAAGCGUUAUCCGGAUUUAUUGGGCGUAAAGGGCUCGUAGGCGGUUCGUCGCGUCCGGUGUGAAAGUCCAUCGCUUAACGGUGGAUCCGCGCCGGGUACGGGCGGGCUUGAGUGCGGUAGGGGAGACUGGAAUUCCCGGUGUAACGGUGGAAUGUGUAGAUAUCGGGAAGAACACCAAUGGCGAAGGCAGGUCUCUGGGCCGUUACUGACGCUGAGGAGCGAAAGCGUGGGGAGCGAACAGGAUUAGAUACCCUGGUAGUCCACGCCGUAAACGGUGGAUGCUGGAUGUGGGGCCCUUUU
Molecule: ribosomal RNA, 761 nt
Filed under: Bifidobacterium pseudolongum subsp. globosum
Lineage: Bacteria; Bacillati; Actinomycetota; Actinomycetes; Bifidobacteriales; Bifidobacteriaceae
Description: bacterial SSU rRNA
Rfam family: Bacterial small subunit ribosomal RNA
Source: RNAcentral